This 253-nucleotide ribosomal RNA is filed under the name uncultured bacterium. RNAcentral describes it as "partial 16S ribosomal RNA". It matches the Rfam family "Bacterial small subunit ribosomal RNA", at positions 524 to 776 of the family's 1533-position model. The record is from RNAcentral.
UACGGAGGGGGCAAGCGUUAUUCGGAAUUAUUGGGCGUAAAGGGCGCGUAGGCGGCUAGAUGUGUCAAAGGUGAAAUCCCUCGGCUCAACUGAGGAACUGCCUUUGAAACUGUCUGGCUUGAGGCCGGGAGAGGGUAGCGGAAUUCCCAGUGUAGCGGUGAAAUGCGUAGAUAUUGGGAGGAACACCAGUGGCGAAGGCGGCUUCCUGGACCGGUUCUGACGCUGAGGCGCGAAAGCGUGGGUAGCAAACAGG